AGUGAACGCUGGCGGUAGGCCUAACACAUGCAAGUCGAACGGCAGCGCAGUAAGAGCUUGCUCUUACGGGUGGCGAGUGGCGGACGGGUGAGGAAUACAUCGGAAUCUACUUUUUCGUGGGGGAUAACGUAGGGAAACUUACGCUAAUACCGCAUACGACCUACGGGUGAAAGCAGGGGAUCUUCGGACCUUGCGCGAUUGAAUGAGCCGAUGUCGGAUUAGCUAGUUGGCGGGGUAAAGGCCCACCAAGGCGACGAUCCGUAGCUGGUCUGAGAGGAUAAUCAGCCACACUGGAACUGAGACACGGUCCAGACUCCUACGGGAGGCAGCAGUGGGGAAUAUUGGACAAUGGGCGCAAGCCUGAUCCAGCCAUACCGCGUGGGUGAAGAAGGCCUUCGGGUUGUAAAGCCCUUUUGUUGGGAAAGAAAAGCAGCAGGUUAAUACCCCGCUGUUCUGACGGUACCCAAAGAAUAAGCACCGGCUAACUUCGUG
Molecule: ribosomal RNA, 492 nt
Filed under: uncultured bacterium
Lineage: Bacteria
Description: partial 16S ribosomal RNA
Rfam family: Bacterial small subunit ribosomal RNA
Source: RNAcentral